This 301-nucleotide ribosomal RNA is filed under the name uncultured bacterium. RNAcentral describes it as "partial 16S ribosomal RNA". It matches the Rfam family "Bacterial small subunit ribosomal RNA", at positions 509 to 807 of the family's 1533-position model. The record is from RNAcentral.
CAGCAGCCGCGGGAAUACGAAGGGGGCUAGCGUUGUUCGGAAUCACUGGGCGUAAAGGGUGCGUAGGCGGGCAUUUAAGUCAGGGGUGAAAUCCCGAGGCUCAACCUCGGAACUGCCCUUGAUACUGGGUGUCUUGAGUCCGGAAGAGGUGAGUGGAACUGCGAGUGUAGAGGUGAAAUUCGUAGAUAUUCGCAAGAACACCGGUGGCGAAGGCGGCUCACUGGUCCGGAACUGACGCUGAGGCACGACAGCGUGGGGAGCAAACAGGAUUAGAUACCCGCGUAGUCCCUGUCUCUUAUAC